This is a long non-coding RNA of Rhagoletis zephyria (snowberry fruit fly), 99 nucleotides long. RefSeq lists it as uncharacterized. NCBI's taxonomy places the organism in Eukaryota, Metazoa, Arthropoda, Insecta, Diptera, Tephritidae. The record is from RefSeq and is a predicted model, not a curated record.
UUAUAAAAUCUUUUUUUACUUCUAAUAGCGCUCUUACACGACAUGUAUUUGCAUAUGUAAAUGCUACUUUUCUAAUACGUUCUAAUAUAUGGUACAUAC